This is a long non-coding RNA of Oncorhynchus gorbuscha (pink salmon), 2383 nucleotides long. RefSeq lists it as uncharacterized. Lineage: Eukaryota; Metazoa; Chordata; Actinopteri; Salmoniformes; Salmonidae. The transcript has 3 exons. The record is from RefSeq and is a predicted model, not a curated record.
ACACUGGAGCUGAAUGUCAACAUUAAAGAUGGAGAAGAUUGGGACAUCUGUUUCUCAUGCCUACUGAUAUGGAUACAUGUCACCAAGUACAGUAGGAAGAGAACUGGCCACCCCUUGAGGAGACCAUGUUGAGACAUUCUCUACAUCCAGAGAGCAGCUGGAAGAUCACAGAGCUAAGAGGUCUCACCACUGCCCACACUGUGAGAAGAUUUUGCCAUUUCUAUCAAAGCUAAAAAUACACCUAAAAAUACACACAGGAAAGAAUCUGUAUUCCUGCACUGACUGUGGGAAGAGCUUCACAACAUCAACUAAGCUAAAAGUUCAUCAGAGAACACACACGAGAGAGAAGCCUUAUUCCUGCUCUGACUGUGGGAAGAGUUUCUCUCGUCUGGGCAACGUAAAACUACAUGAACUUAUACACACAGGAGAGAAGCCUCAUCAGUUCUCUCAGACCAGCGAAGAUUAGAUUCUCCACUUAUUUAUCAUGUCAUUAAAUAAUUGGCAAUGUUGAAUUGGAUCAAAUGGAGAAAGCGUAGAGCACUUGAAAUCCUAUUUUCUCACUGUGAGAGAACAAUGCAGAGGAAAUGGGGCGUUUAUAGAAUGUCAGCCUCUCUUUACUGAUCAGUGUGCAUCUCGUCAGUUUUGGUGUGUUUUGUUUGCUUCUACUGUAAAGAUAUUGAGAUGACCUUGAAUUUGCUUUUAGGGUUGAAUAUCCUUUGUGAGACGUCUCACAAUGGAGUCUGAUGGUUGACUGGGUGGAACUGCUUCCCUCUGCAGGUUUCUGUGGGAAUGAGCUAGUAGACAACAUGCACUGAGUGUACAAAACAUUAAGGACACCUGCUCUUUCCAUGACAGACUGACCAGGUGAACCCAGGUGAAAGCUAUCAAUCCUUAAUGCUGUUUAUUUAUUAUGGAUCCCCAUUAGCUUUCAGCAGAAAACAAGAAACUGCAGUUGGAGUGGGCUAAGAAUUGAAAAGACUGGACACUGGAGGAUUUGAACAUCUUUGCCUGGUCUGAUGAAUCCCUGUUCCUGCUGUUUCAUGCUGAUGGUAGGACUAGGGUAUGGAAAAAAACAUAAUUCCAUGCAUUAAUGCUGUGUGUCAGCAUUGCAGGCUGGUGGUGGUUGUGUGAUGGUUUGUUUUCAUGGCACACAUUGGGCCUGUCAUGCCAAAUAAUGUCCCCCUCUACGCCACAAUGGGAUUCGAUAAACUUAGCGUCCGUUGCUAAACGAAUGGUGUGAUGACCUAAUGAUUAUAAUUUUGGAGAUCAUUACAGCCUAAAUUAUGUUCUUUUCAUCAUCGCUAUGCAAACAAAGCUGAUUUUCCCCAACAAUUUCGCCGUUUUAAAAGUUUUGUUUAGCUAAUCAAAUACAAACAUGAAUUCGUACUACUUUUUGGUACCUUGUUAACAUUACAACAUGAAAUCCACGUCUUACAUGUUGCUACAUUUCGGAAAUGACAAUAAACGCGUGUAAUCUGCUUGACACAUUAAAGUGACUUACCUUACAGAUCACAGUCAGCUCAUUUCCAUUUGAUUGUCUGGCUGUCCUGUUUUAUUUUAACUGUUAUUUUAAACUAGCCCUUGUGGUUGAAUAUGAAAUAUAUAUAUGUGUGUGUGUGUGUCUAUUGUAGGUCCUAGCAUACAACAAUGAAUAAUGUGGAACAAAUAAAUACCAUCAAAGGAUGCCUGGCAAUAUUUAAGAUUGUAAUACAUAAACUCUGAUCGUUUUUAUUUUCACAGAUGAUUUUUUUGUACACACAUGGCAGACAUAGUUAACUCUGGUGUGUGGAAUAAAGAGGUGGGUGCUGUGUGGUUGGGAGGUUCUGCCUGUCACUUGUUCUCAAAUAGGCAGUCUCGGAAGGGGGACUUGAAGAGGGAGACUGCGAAGUCCAGGCACUGCAGUGUUAGUAGUUUUUUAGUUCAUCUGUGUAUCUCACAUAUUAUAUGCCCAGUAUGAUAUGGUGUGCAAACUUUAUUAGCAGAUAAUGACAACAUGACAAUAACAGUAGCUUUAAAUGAUGUAAUGAGAUGGAUGGGAUGAGUGGGCAGAUUGUUGGGAAAUCAGAAGUCACUAGAUGCAGAAUUUCAUCUGGAGGGAGAGGUGAGAAAGAGUUAAAAGAUGAGGAAGGAGGCAGAAUCAAGAGAUGCUUGAUCAGGUGCUGUGGCUAAUUCUUCCUGUCACUUGUCCUCGACAGGCAGACAGUCUUAAAGAACAAUCAUGUUAAAUCAAUUGUUGUUUUGUGAUAUCAUUGAAGACGUUAGAACGGAAACAUUGUAACUUUAAGAGCUUUCACAAUGUAUAUGUCAGAGUUACAUCUAAAUGUUGUAAAACAUAUGAUUAAAUUGAACUAUUUGUGAAAAGAUUAAAUGUGAUUUUAGCCUU